GGUAAAAUAGUAUAAUAGAGAUUACAUUUCAUUUACACUGAAAAAAUUAAGUUGAUUUAUUUUACUU
RNAcentral lists this transfer RNA (67 nucleotides) under Perna viridis (Asian green mussel). Its description in RNAcentral is "tRNA-Val". Lineage: Eukaryota; Metazoa; Mollusca; Bivalvia; Mytilida; Mytilidae. The record is from RNAcentral.